CAGUCGCCGCGGGAAAACGAAGGGGGCUAGCGUUGUUCGGAUUUACUGGGCGUAAAGCGCACGUAGGCGGACUUUUAAGUCAGGGGUGAAAUCCCGAGGCUCAACCCCGGAACUGCCUUUGAUACUGGGAGUCUUGAGUUCGAGAGAGGUGAGUGGAAUUGCGAGUGUAGAGGUGAAAUUCGUAGAUAUUCGCAGGAACACCAGUGGCGAAGGCGGCUCACUGGCUCGAUACUGACGCUGAGGUGCGAAAGCGUGGGGAGCAAACAGGAUUAGAUACCCCCGUAGUCCCUGUCUCUUAUAC
RNAcentral lists this ribosomal RNA (301 nucleotides) under uncultured bacterium. RNAcentral's name for it is "partial 16S ribosomal RNA". It matches the Rfam family "Bacterial small subunit ribosomal RNA", at positions 509 to 807 of the family's 1533-position model. The record is from RNAcentral.